AGGACGAACGCUGGCGGCGUGCUUAACACAUGCAAGUCGAGCGGAAAGGCCCUUCGGGGUACUCGAGCGGCGAACGGGUGAGUAACACGUGGGCAACCUGCCCCUAGCUCUGGGAUAACUCCGGGAAACCGGUGCUAAUACCGGAUAUGACCUCAUUUGGCAUCCUUUGAGGUGGAAAGAUUUAUUGGCUAGGGAUGGGCCCGCGGCCUAUCAGCUUGUUGGUGGGGUAAUGGCCUACCAAGGCGACGACGGGUAGCCGGCCUGAGAGGGCGACCGGCCACACUGGGACUGAGACACGGCCCAGACUCCUACGGGAGGCAGCAGUGGGGAAUAUUGCGCAAUGGGCGAAAGCCUGACGCAGCGACGCCGCGUGAGGGAUGACGGCCUUCGGGUUGUAAACCUCUUUCAGCAGGGACGAAGCGAAAGUGACGGUACCUGCAGAGAAGCGCCGGCCAACUACGCGCCAGCAGCCGC
RNAcentral lists this ribosomal RNA (474 nucleotides) under uncultured bacterium. RNAcentral describes it as "SSU rRNA". It matches the Rfam family "Bacterial small subunit ribosomal RNA", at positions 26 to 518 of the family's 1533-position model. The record is from RNAcentral.